This 2531-nucleotide unclassified non-coding RNA is filed under the name Leishmania donovani. Its description in RNAcentral is "gene:LdHU3.27.0510(CDS-product:ribokinase_putativ e)". Lineage: Eukaryota; Euglenozoa; Kinetoplastea; Trypanosomatida; Trypanosomatidae. The record is from RNAcentral.
AGUCGUUCGCCAUUACGCAGCCCUCCUCUCCCCAUCACCGCUCACAGACUCGCGUAUUUGUACGCUCUUUCCCGUGUGCCCUGUGCAUCGCAGCCGAACAAACCCGUAAUGCACCGUGCGCGGAACGUUCGAUCUCAUACGGGCGAGUAUGCCCCAGACAUUUUGGUGGUUGGUUCUUGCUUUCUGGACUAUGUCGGCUACGUGGACCACAUGCCGCAGGUGGGCGAGACGAUGCACUCGGUGUCGUUUCACAAGGGGUUUGGCGGCAAGGGCGCCAACCAAGCUGUGGCGGCUGGCCGCUUGGGGGCCAAGGUUGCCAUGGUGAGCAUGGUCGGGACAGAUGGCGACGGCAGUGACUACAUCAAGGAGCUGGAGAGAAACGGUGUUGACACGGCGUACAUGUUUCGCACCGGCAAGAGCUCGACUGGACUGGCGAUGAUCCUGGUCGAUACCAAGUCAUCCAACAACGAAAUCGUCAUUUGCCCCAACGCCACAAACCAUUUCACACCUGAGCUGCUGCGCGCGCAGACGAACAACUACGAGAGGAUCCUGCAUACCGGGCUCAAGUAUCUUAUCUGCCAGAACGAGAUACCCCUUCCCACCACGCUCGACACGAUCAAGGAGGCGCACAGCCGUGGCGUGUACACGGUGUUCAACAGCGCUCCGGCCCCGAAGCCGGCUGAGGUGGAGCAGAUCAAGCCGUUUCUCCCGUACGUGUCGCUCUUCUGCCCGAACGAAGUGGAGGCGACGCUCAUUACCGGCGUGAAGGUGACGGACACCGAGUCCGCCUUUAGCGCCAUCAAGGCGCUGCAGCAGCUCGGCGUUCGUGAUGUCGUCAUCACGCUCGGUGCGGCCGGCUUUGUCCUUUCUGAAAACGGUGUCGAGCCGGUGCAUGUCACGGGCAAGCACGUCAAGGCGGUGGACACGACCGGCGCCGGUGACUGCUUUGUCGGCUCCAUGGUGUAUUUCAUGAGCCGCGGCCGCAACCUUCUGGAGGCCUGCAAGCGAGCCAACGAGUGCGCCGCCAUCAGCGUCACGCGCAAGGGCACCCAGCUGUCCUACCCGCACCCAAGUGAGCUGCCGGCUGGUGUCAUGUAGUCGUGAGUAGAGGGCAUGCUCGCCUCCUCCUCCCCGACGCUGCGAAAGGCGAUGGGGUGCUGCCGAUGGUGAUGAUGGUGCCGGGGGCACUGGAGCGCCAAUAUGUUUAAGCGCUUACGAACAGAGCACGCCAUCGGAGCAAGCAACUGCGAAGGCGCGCACAGGGGGUGGGGGACGUGCGGUGGUGUUGUGACGCGGUUGCCUUUCGAGCAACAGCGCGUAGACCGAAAGUCUUCAAAGUACGGCGGACGUGUUUGCUGGUUUGUGUGCGCCUCGCUCCUCUCUCGAGGGCCUUCUUGUCUUUCUUCUCUGGCCAUUCUCGAACCUCUCUUGCAUCUUCGUCCCUCUCUUGCGUCGACUUCCGUGUGUGUGCGUGUGUGUGUGUCCACACGGUGUGCAUAACGUGUGUAUGUAUACAUCUCUCUUCCCCUGCCUCUCUCUGCCUCCCAUGGCGAGAGGCGCUUGCCGUCGUGUGCUUCGCCGUUACCGGCUCUUCUAUGUCACCUCACAAAACGUUUCUUUCAUGUUUUAUGCUUUCACUUUUCCCCGCUCUCUCUCGCUCUCGUCUGUUUGAAUGUUACCCAUGCGCGUUCCCCCCUUGGUUGUCUGUCUCUCUUUUUCUCCCUCUCUCUGUAUGUGUGUACGUGCGUUUGCGUCUUGAUGCCCAUCGCACCGGAGUGGGGCGCGUACAAGCUCCUUUACGCGUGUCCCCAUCUUGCUCUUCGCGUGCCCUUGUGUGUCUGGCGCGGUGUGGCAUUGCCAUCGGUUUACACCAUCGCGGAUGCAGUCGACGGGAUGAAGUCGACGUUUUCGAGCCACUCGAUCCUUUUUCUCUCUCUCUGCUCGUUUCUUCGCUGUGCACCACACAGGUGGGAGAAGAAAAAAAAACUUCACUCGUGGUCAAGCGCGCUGGAAGACAGUCAGUGGGAUACGCUCGAUGAGCGAGGAGGCUGCAGAGGCGUUGGAACGGCGGUGGAAAGCGGAGAGGGCGGGAGGGGUGGGGGGGAGUCUAUGAGAGCCGGGAAUACGUGCGCAUACACCCACCAGCCAUAAGCAGCAGCAACAACGAAGAAGCAGCAGCCAUCAUCAUCGCAAUGCUGCCUAGCGUAACGUGCCCACUGGCGGAGGUAAUGAGUGGCGUGCGAGGAGUGCACUUGAAGCUGACCAGAGGUGAUGAUUAGACGAGGUCCCCUGCCCCAGAACGUGUGCCUACCCUGGAGCUUCUACAUGGAGAGCCACAGGAACAUAAUACCCCUCCUUCAACUUUAUCUCUCCUUGUGCAUCUGCAUGGCACCCUUCUUUCCCUCCCCACUGCACAUGAUGGGCCUGCACUCGACGUGAGCCAAUCUCACGGUCGCUCACACCCAAACCAUUCGUGUACCCCCCGUCCUCUACCACACAUCCACACUCACACCGAACACGGUGGUGUGUAG